UACGAAGGGGCUAGCGUUGCUCGGAAUCACUGGGCGUAAAGGGCGCGUAGGCGGCCGAUCAAGUCAGGGGUGAAAGCCUGUGGCUCAACCACAGAAUUGCCUUUGAUACUGUUCGGCUCGAGACCGGAAGAGGUAAGUGGAACUGCGAGUGUAGAGGUGAAAUUCGUAGAUAUUCGCAAGAACACCAGUGGCGAAGGCGGCUUACUGGUCCGGUUCUGACGCUGAGGCGCGAAAGCGUGGGGAGCAAACAGG
This 252-nucleotide ribosomal RNA is filed under the name uncultured bacterium. RNAcentral describes it as "partial 16S ribosomal RNA". It matches the Rfam family "Bacterial small subunit ribosomal RNA", at positions 524 to 776 of the family's 1533-position model. The record is from RNAcentral.